UGGAUAUACAUAUGAAAAAAUUAACUAAACCACGGUGAGUAAGAAGCGCAUUUCUGAAUAGAUAAACGACUUUCUCGCGGCAGCGUGAGUGUUAAGUAGUAUAAUUCAUACCCCCAUAUAUAUACAACAUUCAUAUAUAUAAUGCCUGAGUUUAUAAUUCCAAUUGCUGGUCGUUCAAGCGAAAGUUAUGUGCGAGUCGGUGAGUUCCAUUGCGUGUUGCAUUGAUAAAGCAACUUGACUGGAAAUUUAUGACGAGUCACUAAAAUCGACUUGAGGCAAAU
Long non-coding RNA from Drosophila navojoa, 281 nucleotides. Lineage: Eukaryota; Metazoa; Arthropoda; Insecta; Diptera; Drosophilidae. The record is from RefSeq and is a predicted model, not a curated record.